This 259-nucleotide ribosomal RNA is filed under the name Achromobacter sp. KAs 3-5. RNAcentral describes it as "partial 23S ribosomal RNA". It matches the Rfam family "Bacterial large subunit ribosomal RNA", at positions 146 to 439 of the family's 2925-position model. The record is from RNAcentral. Lineage: Bacteria; Pseudomonadati; Pseudomonadota; Betaproteobacteria; Burkholderiales; Alcaligenaceae.
CAGUAUCCCUAGCUGAAUACAUAGGCUAGUGGAAGCGAACCGGGUGAACUGAAACAUCUCAGUAGCUCGAGGAAAAGAAAUCAACCGAGAUUCCGAAAGUAGUGGCGAGCGAAAUCGGAUGAGCCUUUACGUUUUUAGCGCGCAGGAUAGUCGAACGGAAUGGAAAGUCCGGCCGUAGCAGGUGAUAGCCCUGUAGACGAAAUUCUGUGUGUGGAACUAAGCGUAAGACAAGUAGGGCGGGACACGUGAAAUCCUGUUU